RNAcentral lists this ribosomal RNA (497 nucleotides) under uncultured bacterium. RNAcentral's name for it is "partial 16S ribosomal RNA". It matches the Rfam family "Bacterial small subunit ribosomal RNA", at positions 28 to 507 of the family's 1533-position model. The record is from RNAcentral.
GACGAACGCUGGCGGCGUGCCUAAUACAUGCAAGUCGAACGCUGAAGAGAGGAGCUUGCUCUUCUUGGAUGAGUUGCGAACGGGUGAGUAACGCGUAGGUAACCUGCCUUGUAGCGGGGGAUAACUAUUGGAAACGAUAGCUAAUACCGCAUAACAAUGGAUGACCCAUGUCAUUUAUUUGAAAGGGGCAAAUGCUCCACUACAAGAUGGACCUGCGUUGUAUUAGCUAGUAGGUGAGGUAACGGCUCACCUAGGCGACGAUACAUAGCCGACCUGAGAGGGUGAUCGGCCACACUGGGACUGAGACACGGCCCAGACUCCUACGGGAGGCAGCAGUAGGGAAUCUUCGGCAAUGGGGGCAACCCUGACCGAGCAACGCCGCGUGAGUGAAGAAGGUUUUCGGAUCGUAAAGCUCUGUUGUAAGUCAAGAACGAGUGUGAGAGUGGAAAGUUCACACUGUAACGGUAGCUUACCAGAAAGGGACGGCUAACUACGUG